GAUGAACGCUGGCGGCGUGCCUAAUACAUGCCAGUCGAGCGAACAGACGAGGAGCUUGCUCCUCUGACGUUAGCGGCGGACGGGGGAGUAACACGUGGAUAACCUACCUAUAAGACUGGGAUAACUUCGGGAAACCGGAGCUAAUACCGGAUAAUAUAUUGAACCGCAUGGUUCAAUAGUGAAAGACGGUUUUGCUGUCACUUAUAGAUGGAUCCGCGCCGCAUUAGCUAGUUGGUAAGGUAACGGCUUACCAAGGCAACGAUGCGUAGCCGACCUGAGAGGGUGAUCGGCCACACUGGAACUGAGACACGGUCCAGACUCCUACGGGAGGCAGCAGUAGGGAAUCUUCCGCAAUGGGCGAAAGCUUGACGGAGCAACGCCGCGUGAGUGAUGAAGGUCUUCGGAUCGUAAAACUCUGUUAUUAGGGAAGAACAAAUGUGUAAGUAACUAUGCACGUCUUGACGGUACCUAAUCAGAAAGCCACGGCUAACUACGUG
RNAcentral lists this ribosomal RNA (497 nucleotides) under uncultured bacterium. RNAcentral describes it as "partial 16S ribosomal RNA". It matches the Rfam family "Bacterial small subunit ribosomal RNA", at positions 28 to 507 of the family's 1533-position model. The record is from RNAcentral.